RNAcentral lists this non-coding RNA (241 nucleotides) under Vagococcus teuberi. Its description in RNAcentral is "T-box sequence". It matches the Rfam family "T-box leader". Rfam says of the family: Uncharged tRNA acts as the effector for transcription antitermination of genes in the T-box leader family. T-boxes are found upstream of many aminoacyl-tRNA synthetase genes and some amino acid biosynthetic genes usually in Gram-positive bacteria. The record is from RNAcentral. Lineage: Bacteria; Bacillati; Bacillota; Bacilli; Lactobacillales; Enterococcaceae.
AGACAUACGAUGAUAUGGUAAGUAGGUUGAUUUUUAUUUUUUACAGAGAACCUCGAUUAGCUGAGAAGAGGAAAAAUGAUGUAACUGAAAAUGGCCAUUGAGUAAUUUGGAUUCGAGCAAAACAUUGUAAGAAUGCAACGAGCGCAACCGUUAACUUGCUAGAGUAUGAUAGUACUUGAUAAGGAUUAAUUUGUGAGAAUUAGUCAAAUUAGAGGUGGUAACACGCACAAGCGUCCUCAAG